AGACAAUAUAAAAAGUAUAAAUACAAUCAACUAAUAUUAAAAUAUAAUAAUAAUUUUGUUUUAAAAACAUCUUAUCUUAUAACAUAUAAACGAAUAAUUAGUAAAAUAAUUGAUAAAUUUAAGUGCCAGCAAUCGCGGUUAUACUCUAAAUUUAAUUAUAUUUCGUUCAAUUAAAAUUAAUAUUUAUAUAUUUAAAUUAAUAUAAAGUAAAAUUUCAUUACACAAAUAUACAAUUCUUUUAUAAUUAAAAUUUUAAAUUUAAAAUAGGAUUAGAUACCCUAGUAUAUUAAAAAAAUAUAAGGUAGUAAAAAUUCUCUUAAACCUAUUUAUAAUGGCGGCAUUUCAUCUUAUUAGAGGAACCUGUUUUCUGAUCGAUAACCCACGUUAAAUUUCACUUAAAUUAAAAAUUUAUAUACCGCCAUCUAAAAAACUAAUCUAAUAAUAAUAUUUUAAAUAAAUAACAAAAAGUUAGGUCAAGGUGUAAUCAACAUUUAAGUAAAUAAUGGGUUACAUUAAAAACAAUUUAAGGAUUAUUUUAUUAAAACAUUACUUGAAAAAGGAUUUAAAAGUAAUAUUAAAAUAAUAUCUUAUUAUGAUUAAGAUAAUAAAUGUGCACAUAUCGCCCGUCACCCUUAUCAAAAGGUAAGGUAAGUCGUAACAUAGUUGAUGUUUUGGAAAAAGUAUC
RNAcentral lists this ribosomal RNA (685 nucleotides) under Lycosa grahami. RNAcentral describes it as "12S ribosomal RNA". Lineage: Eukaryota; Metazoa; Arthropoda; Arachnida; Araneae; Lycosidae. The record is from RNAcentral.